Molecule: non-coding RNA, 44 nt
Filed under: Schistosoma mattheei
Lineage: Eukaryota; Metazoa; Platyhelminthes; Trematoda; Strigeidida; Schistosomatidae
Source: RNAcentral
AUCAGCUGACGGGUCCAAUAUAGGACGAAACGCGCGUCCGGGAU